Molecule: ribosomal RNA, 252 nt
Filed under: uncultured bacterium
Lineage: Bacteria
Description: partial 16S ribosomal RNA
Rfam family: Bacterial small subunit ribosomal RNA
Source: RNAcentral
UACGUAGGGUGCAAGCGUUAUCCGGAAUUAUUGGGCGUAAAGAGCUCGUAGGCGGUUUGUCGCGUCUGCUGUGAAAACUGGGGGCUCAACCCUCAGAGGCCGACCGAUACUGUCGGGCUAGAGUCCGGAAGAGGCGAGUGGAAUCCUGGUGUAGCGGUGAAAUGCGCAGAUAUCAGGAGGAACACCAAUGGCGAAGGCAGCUCGCUGGGACGGUACUGACGCUGAGGCGCGAAAGCGUGGGGAGCAAACAGG